UACGUAGGGUGCAAGCGUUAAUCGGAAUUACUGGGCGUAAAGCGUGCGCAGGCGGUUAUGUAAGACAGUUGUGAAAUCCCCGGGCUUAACCUGGGAACCGCAUUUGUGACUGCAUAGCUGGAGUACGGCAGAGGGGAUGGAAUUCCGCGUGUAGGCAGUGAAAUGCGUAGAUAUGCGGAGGAACACCGAUGGCGAAGGCAGUCCCCUGGGCCUGUACUGACGCUCAUGCACGAAAGCGUGGGGAGCAAACAGG
This 253-nucleotide ribosomal RNA is filed under the name uncultured bacterium. RNAcentral's name for it is "partial 16S ribosomal RNA". It matches the Rfam family "Bacterial small subunit ribosomal RNA", at positions 524 to 776 of the family's 1533-position model. The record is from RNAcentral.